GGAAAAGGGAAACCCCCCUUUGUUUGAUGGUGGAUUUUCUGUUACCGGCACGUGAAGACUGAAAACCUGACACGUCACGUCACAAAAUGUUGUUUCUAAUCGGUUUGGGCCUUGGGGAUGUUAAAGAUAUUACAGUAAAAGGAUUGGAAGCCGUAAAGAAGGCCAAACGUGUUUAUUUAGAGGCUUACACAUCUAUUUUGACCGUAGGCAAAGAAGCACUGGAGGAGUACUAUGGACGUGAAAUCAUUUUAGCAGACCGUGACCUGGUUGAACAAGGAUCAGAUGAGAUCUUUGAAGGUGCUAGGACAGAGGAUAUCGCAUUUUUGGUUGUUGGAGAUCCGUUCGGAGCAACUACACAUACAGACUUGGUACUACGAGCCAAGCAGGAAGGGAUUGAUUACAAGGUCAUCCAUAAUGCUUCUAUCAUGAAUGCAAUCGGUUGCUGUGGUUUGCAGCUCUACAAUUACGGAGAGACCAUCUCGAUAGUGUUUUGGACGGAUACAUGGAAACCGGAUAGUUACUAUGAUAAGAUUGCAUCCAAUCGAUCAAGAGGCCUUCACACGCUCUGUCUUCUCGACAUCAAGAUGAAGGAGCAGAGUAUAGAGAAUCUUAUCAAAGGGCGUAAGAUCUUUGAGCCACCUCGCUUCCUUACAGUACCACAGGCAGCAUCUCAACUUCUUGAAAUUUUGGACCAGAGGAAAGAGAGGGGAGAUGAUUAUACAGCCUACACUGAAGAUGCAAUUUGUAUAGGGGUCGCUAGAGUAGGUUCUGACACUCAACAAAUCAUAUCUGGGACGCUACGAGAGCUGACCUCUGUUGACCUUGGGGAUCCUCUUCACUCAUUGGUCAUCGCUGGUCACAUGCAUCCCGUUGAGCUUGAAAUGUUAAAGCAGUUUGCUGUUACUCCUUCCAUUUUCGAUGCAUUACUUCAAGAAAGCAGAUAGCAUAGAUUAUGAUUGUAAUUUAUAUAUGUAUUUCUUUCUGUCGUUUUCCUCCUUCAAUGUUUUUCCUGUUCUCUGACUUUCUUAUAUUUCUGUCAAAUUCUAUUCUCUACCUCUAGAUAUAAGUAUCUCAUAUCAAUCUCUUUUGUUUUCAUUACUCCUUUAUUAGACCGUAUCCCAUCUCUCCCUCUCCUUUUCUCUCUUAUUCCUACCUUAUUCUCACUCAUCUCCCUUCCAUUUUGUUCUCUCCCCCCCUCUCUCUCUCUUUCCUUCCCCCUCUCUUCCGCUCUUAUUUUCCCCACUCUUUCUCUCCUCCCAUUCUAUAUCUUACAGCCCUCUGUCAUUCUUCUCUCCUUUGCCAUUCCCCCUUUCUCACUGUGUAAAGUUUGUUUGAAUAACAUCUUUAAGAAUAGUAUUCUUUCAUGUUCUUGUAUUGAAGUAAAUAUAUUAUUUUAUCACCCAAUUUUAUCGUAAGAAGAAAAUUUAAUUUUUUGUAAGGUAUGGAAAUAGAUAGAAUUCACAUUUUGCAAAAGGCAUAGUAAACUUUACCCUCCCAAACCCUAUCUCCCCCCCCCCCCUCUCUCAUUUCCCUAGUUUACUUUCUUGCUCCCCGUUCUCACUGUGUAAUGGGCUGUUUGGUAUUUGGUGUUGCUAUUGGGCAGAUUUUUCCAUCACUAAAUUUUCCACCAAAUUUGAAAUGAAGUUGGUUUUGGGAUGAACCUCACUAGGUUUUGGAAUUUAAAUAGUGUGAUUUUGAUCAUUUGGAUAAACUCAGAAAAGGGAAAGGGGAUGCUAGAGCUAAGAGGGAAAUCUCAAUCAUGAUCCCAACACCAAAACUAGCACAGAACUUGAAAUCACCCACUUUUGAAUAUUCAUGUACUUCUGGUUUCAUUCUCCUUUAAAACAAAAGAUAAGUUAUAUACAAUAUGAAGUUUUUUCUAUAAUAGAUGUUAAGUAUUUACAGCAAGUUCAUUGUGAAGGCAGAUACAUCAUUUAGGUCCAUAGAAUCAGAACAGUAUAAGUAUACACACAUACAAAGUCCCUUGAACAUAACUUUACUACUUGUAGUCAUGGAAACUCUGCAAAGAGCAUGUAAUCGCAAUACAGAUUCACAUGAUUGGUUUCCAUAUUAAUCUUGUCUAAGAGUGAUCUACAUUCUGAUUGUGUAGGUUCAACUCAAGUAUAAAAUCUUCCUAUAGAUUUAGCUACAGUAAAAAGUGAUAUAUUUAGUCCACUGUAGAGAUGGCAUAGAUCAAAUAUAAACUAAAUUUUGUUCACUUAUAGAUCACAUGAUCAAAAAUUCAGUCAUAGAUAUGUUGAGAG
Molecule: RNA transcript, 2264 nt
Organism: Lytechinus pictus (painted urchin)
Lineage: Eukaryota; Metazoa; Echinodermata; Echinoidea; Temnopleuroida; Toxopneustidae
Gene name: diphthine methyl ester synthase-like
Exons: 7
Source: RefSeq, a predicted model, not a curated record